RNAcentral lists this ribosomal RNA (253 nucleotides) under uncultured bacterium. RNAcentral describes it as "partial 16S ribosomal RNA". It matches the Rfam family "Bacterial small subunit ribosomal RNA", at positions 524 to 776 of the family's 1533-position model. The record is from RNAcentral.
UACGGGGGGGGUAAGCGUUGUUCGGAAUUACUGGGCGUAAAGGGCUCGUAGGCGGCCAACUAAGUCAGACGUGAAAUCCCUCAGCUUAACUGGGGAACUGCGUCUGAUACUGGAUGGCUUGGAUUUGGGAGAGGGAUGCGGAAUUCCAGGUGUAGCGGUGAAAUGCGUAGAUAUCUGGAGGAAUACCGAUGGCGAAGGCAGGUCUCUGGGCUGACACUGACGCUCAUGCACGAAAGCGUGGGGAGCAAACAGG